Molecule: ribosomal RNA, 214 nt
Filed under: [Candida] sp.
Lineage: Eukaryota; Fungi; Ascomycota; Saccharomycetes; Saccharomycetales
Description: Candida sp. (in: Saccharomycetales) partial large subunit ribosomal RNA
Source: RNAcentral
AAGGGCUUGAGAUCAGACUUGGUAUUUUGUGUUCCUUAUCCUUCUUGGAUUAGGUUCCUCACAGCUUACCGGGCCAGCAUCGGUUUGGAUGGCAGGAUAAUGACAUUGGAAUGUAGCUUUGCUUCGGUGAAGUGUUAUAGACUUUGUUGAUACUGCCUAUCUAGACCGAGGACUGCGUCUUUGACUAGGAUGCUGGCGUAAUGAUCUUAAGCCG